This 76-nucleotide transfer RNA is filed under the name Mesorhizobium amorphae. Its description in RNAcentral is "tRNA-Trp". It matches the Rfam family "tRNA". From Rfam's summary of the family: Transfer RNA (tRNA) molecules are approximately 80 nucleotides in length. Their secondary structure includes four short double-helical elements and three loops (D, anti-codon, and T loops). Further hydrogen bonds mediate the characteristic L-shaped molecular structure. tRNAs have two regions of fundamental functional importance: the anti-codon, which is responsible for specific mRNA codon recognition, and the 3' end, to which the tRNAs corresponding amino acid is attached (by aminoacyl-tRNA synthetases). tRNAs cope with the degeneracy of the genetic code in two manners: having more than one tRNA (with a specific anti-codon) for a particular amino acid; and 'wobble' base-pairing, i.e. permitting non-standard base-pairing at the 3rd anti-codon position. Lineage: Bacteria; Pseudomonadati; Pseudomonadota; Alphaproteobacteria; Hyphomicrobiales; Phyllobacteriaceae. The record is from RNAcentral.
AUGGGUGUAGCUCAGUCGGUAGAGCGCCGGUCUCCAAAACCGGAUGUCGGGGGUUCGAGCCCCUCCGCCCAUGCCA